CUCCCGGGACGGAGGCGGGCGUGCAGACCGCCCGCCGCCCCCCAGGACCUGGCUGGUCGCCCCCUAAGACCGCCCGCCACCCCCAGGUCCACCUUCCGGAGCAGGCGUUAUGGUCACGCCUCUUUCUCCCCAAGCGGUAAAGCUCAUCUACCAAAGGAAGCUUUAGGAAUGCCAAUUUCGGGAUUGUUUGACAAGCUACUUCACUGCCUGGUGUAGUUCUUUGGGCAUCACGAAGCAAACAGCCAGGCUGUGAACAGCCUCCGGAUCCCAGGG
Kogia breviceps (pygmy sperm whale) is the source of this 273-nucleotide non-coding RNA. NCBI's taxonomy places the organism in Eukaryota, Metazoa, Chordata, Mammalia, Artiodactyla, Physeteridae. The record is from RefSeq and is a predicted model, not a curated record.